This 321-nucleotide ribosomal RNA is filed under the name uncultured eukaryote. Its description in RNAcentral is "partial 18S ribosomal RNA". It matches the Rfam family "Eukaryotic small subunit ribosomal RNA", at positions 1470 to 1796 of the family's 1831-position model. The record is from RNAcentral.
CCCUUAGAUGUCCUGGGCCGCACGCGCGCUACACUGACAUGUUCAACAAGCCUCCUAGUUCGACAGGAUUUGGGAAAUCUUUGAACGCAUGUCGUGAUAGGGAUAGAUCAUUGCAAUUAUUGAUCUUGAACGAGGAACUCCUAGUAAACGCGAGUCAUCAGCUCGCAUUGAUUACGUCCCUGCCCUUUGUACACACCACCCGUCGCACCUACCGAUUGAAUGUUUCGGUGAAGAUUCCGGAUAGGACUUUUUUGAUUUAUUUCAAUUUUGUCUUAAAAGCUAUCUAAACCUCAACAUUUAGAGGAAGGUGAAGUCGUAACA